RNAcentral lists this small nuclear RNA (18 nucleotides) under Arabidopsis thaliana (thale cress). RNAcentral describes it as "snRNA_17835". Lineage: Eukaryota; Viridiplantae; Streptophyta; Magnoliopsida; Brassicales; Brassicaceae. The record is from RNAcentral.
GGAUAUAACUCAACCGGG